GGGAUUGCCUCAGUAACGGCGAGUGAAGCGGCAACAGCUCAAAUUUGAAAUCUGGCUCCUUCGGGGUCCGAAUUGUAAUUUGUAGAGAGUGCUUCGGGCGAGACCUCGGUCUAAGUCCAUUGGAACAUGGUGUCAUAGAGGGUGAGAAUCCCGUAUGCGACCGUGGCUCGAGCCCAUGUGAAGCCUCUUCGACGAGUCGAGUUGUUUGGGAAUGCAGCUCAAAACGGGUGGUAAAUUUCAUCUAAAGCUAAAUACUGGCUGGAGACCGAUAGCGCACAAGUAGAGUGAUCGAAAGAUGAAAAGCACUUUGGAAAGAGAGUCAAACAGUACGUGAAAUUGUUGAAAGGGAAGCGCUUGCAACCAGACCUGCCCGUAGGCGAUCAGCCGCUGUUCUCAGCGGUGCACUCGCUCUGCGAUCAGGCCAGCAUCGGUUUCGGCGGUCGGAUAAAGGCCUUGGGAAUGUAGCUUCCCUUCGGGGAAGUCUUAUAGCCCUCGGUGCAAUGCGGCCAGCCGGGACCGAGGACCGCGCUUCGGCUAGGAUGCUGGCGUAAUGGUUGUAAGCGACCCGUCUUGAAACACGGACCAAGGAGUCUAACAUCUAUGCGAGUGUUUGGGUGUCAAACCCAUACGCGGAAUGAAAGUGAACGGAGGUGAGAACCCUUAAGGGCGCAUCAUCGACCGAUCCAGAUGUCUUCGGAUGGAUUUGAGUAUGAGCAUAGCUGUUGGGACCCGAAAGAUGGUGAACUAUGCCUGAAUAGGGUGAAGCCAGAGGAAACUCUGGUGGAGGCUCGCAGCGGUUCUGACGUGCAAAUCGAUCGUCAAAUUUGGGUAUAGGGGCGAAAGACUAAUCG
This 851-nucleotide ribosomal RNA is filed under the name Xanthoparmelia wyomingica. RNAcentral's name for it is "eukaryotic LSU rRNA". It matches the Rfam family "Eukaryotic large subunit ribosomal RNA", at positions 71 to 937 of the family's 3401-position model. The record is from RNAcentral. Lineage: Eukaryota; Fungi; Ascomycota; Lecanoromycetes; Lecanorales; Parmeliaceae.